AUUGAACGCUGGCGGCAUGCCUUACACAUGCAAGUCGAACGGUAACGGGCCUUCGGGUGCCGACGAGUGGCGAACGGGUGAGGAAUACAUCGGAACGUGCCCGAUCGUGGGGGAUAACGAGGAGAAAGCUUUGCUAAUACCGCAUACGAUCUACGGAUGAAAGCAGGGGACCGAAAGGCCUUGUGCGGAAGGAGCGGCAGAUGGCAGAUUAGGUAGUUGGUGGAUAAAAGCUUACCAAGCCGACGAUCUGUAGCUGGUCUGAGAGGAUGAUCAGCCACACUGGGACUGAGACACGGCCCAGACUCCUACGGGAGGCAGCAGUGGGGAAUUUUGGACAAUGGGCGCAAGCCUGAUCCAGCCAUGCCGCGUGCAGGAUGAAGGCCUUCGGGUUGUAAACUGCUUUUGUACGGAACGAAAAGCCUUCUUCUAAUACAGGAGGGUCAUGACGGUACCGUAAGAAUAAGCACCGGCUAACUACGUGCCAGCCGCCGCGGUAA
This 497-nucleotide ribosomal RNA is filed under the name uncultured bacterium. RNAcentral describes it as "partial 16S ribosomal RNA". It matches the Rfam family "Bacterial small subunit ribosomal RNA", at positions 30 to 523 of the family's 1533-position model. The record is from RNAcentral.